Molecule: long non-coding RNA, 621 nt
Organism: Leptidea sinapis
Lineage: Eukaryota; Metazoa; Arthropoda; Insecta; Lepidoptera; Pieridae
Exons: 2
Source: RefSeq, a predicted model, not a curated record
GCCAGGUAUUCCAAUGGCUGUGAGAAUCUCAAUUAACACUAAAGGAUUAACAUUAUCAAAUGCUCCAUUAACAUCAAGAAAGGCGCAAACUGUAUGGGAAUGGUUAUGAAAUGAGUUUUUGAUGUCUGAAAUUAAGGAUGUAAAGCUUUCUGUGGCACUUCUACCUCUACGAAAACCAAACUGCUCUUUAGAUGGAUUAUGACUUAUGGUACCUACUGUGGUUGUAGAACCUGUGUUAAGAAUACAAAGAUUGGACUCAUCUAAUAAAUUGAAAAUAUCAUUUCCCCUGGAGUUUGAAGAAUUACAACCAAAGGCAACAUGAUGUCCAUUAAGAUCACCUGAUAACAUUAAGGGUUUGGGCAAGUUAUCUAUAAUUUGCUUUAAUUUCUUGCAUUUAAAACGACCCCCUCUUGGAGGACUAUAUGCACACAGCAUGGAUAUUUGGCCAAUGUUGAGUUUUAAAAUAAUUGCAACUGUUUGUAAAUGGUCAUAGUAUGGUGUUUGAAUAACUUUAUAUUUAUAUGAACUCUUUAUCAAAAUAGCUACACCUCCAUGACCAUUAGGUCCGUUUUGAAGUAUUAUAUUAUAGUCUGGUAUAUUAAAGCAACUGUUUUCUUUCAA